RNAcentral lists this unclassified non-coding RNA (253 nucleotides) under uncultured Halomonadaceae bacterium. RNAcentral's name for it is "contains 16S-23S intergenic spacer region". It matches the Rfam family "Bacterial small subunit ribosomal RNA", at positions 524 to 776 of the family's 1533-position model. Lineage: Bacteria; Pseudomonadati; Pseudomonadota; Gammaproteobacteria; Oceanospirillales; Halomonadaceae. The record is from RNAcentral.
UACGGAGGGGGCAAGCGUUAAUCGGAAUUACUGGGCGUAAAGCGCGCGUAGGUGGCUUGAUAAGCCGGUUGUGAAAGCCCGGGGCUCAACCUGGGAACGGCAUUCGGAACUGUCAAGCUAGAGUGCAGGAGAGGAAGGUAGAAUUCCCGGUGUAGCGGUGUAAUGCGUAGAGAUCGGGAGGAAUACCAGUUGCGAAGGCGUCCUUCUGGACUGACACUGACACUGAGGUGCGAAAGCGUGGGUAGCAAAAAGG